GUGCUCAAGGGAUGAACAUAAGCCCUUUAAAUGCAAAAUCAAUCCCAUUCACUUAGUCAACAGUGUUAUUCUCUAAUUUCUGGUCAUUAGAGGCUGGAAUAUGC
Small nucleolar RNA from Cephalotus follicularis, 104 nucleotides. It matches the Rfam family "Small nucleolar RNA snoR99". NCBI's taxonomy places the organism in Eukaryota, Viridiplantae, Streptophyta, Magnoliopsida, Oxalidales, Cephalotaceae. The record is from Rfam.